Girardinichthys multiradiatus is the source of this 490-nucleotide long non-coding RNA. RefSeq lists it as uncharacterized. NCBI's taxonomy places the organism in Eukaryota, Metazoa, Chordata, Actinopteri, Cyprinodontiformes, Goodeidae. The record is from RefSeq and is a predicted model, not a curated record. The transcript has 2 exons.
CGCCCACGGACUGCUGGAGAUAGGCACCAGCUCCCCUGCAACCCAGUAUGGAAGAAGCAGGAUGCGGGAAAGUGAGGACAUCAUGGGCCAGAACUGAUUCGAUAAAGCAAACCCCUGCUGUUGGAGAAUAACGACGGAGAGGCUAAAAAAGUAAAAAGAGGAGUACUAGAGAGUCAGCAGGAGAAGAGGACGAAGGAGGUCGUAGGCAGAUGUUUAUUUGAUGUACUGUCCUGUUCUCAGAACAUUCUGAGAGCAACAAAAGGUAUCUGAGCACAUAAAUAAAACCUGAAGUGAUGCUGGACAGUCCACUGUUUGAGUGGAAGACGAUUACGUAAGAGUGUAGGCAUGGAAAGAUGAUGCAGCGAGAACAAUACUAUUAACUAUUAAGAGCUGAGUCAUGUGCACCUCUCUGUAAGUCAAUCACUCUUCUAAAUAAAAGACUCACCUUGAACCUAGGAGCUGCAGAGGAGGAAGAGGAAGAAGAGCAACA